GGGGGCGACAGGCUUCGACGGGGGCAAGGGACUGUGGAAUGCAUGCCGAGCUCGUUCAUCUCGCUCGUUAAACCGGUGAACAAACAACGCAACUGCGGACUCGCAGCUCGCACUCGCGGCCUAAUUAAGCCGCGACGUUCCUCCCGGUCAGCCUACGGGCCGGACAGGAACGCCAUUCAGUAGGCUGGUUCCGACACGCGCCCGGCGAGGUCGGAACGAGACACAUUCGGGAUGGCUGCCGGCGGUUGGCCGUUCUACCCUGCCGGUGGCGACAUUCAAAGAACGGCUAAGCAUGUAGGGUUCUGCAGCGACAGGCCUUUCGGACGCGGGUUCGACUCCCGCCGCCUCCACCA
Molecule: transfer-messenger RNA, 353 nt
Filed under: Acidobacteriota bacterium
Lineage: Bacteria; Pseudomonadati; Acidobacteriota
Also listed under: 1 other name
Rfam family: transfer-messenger RNA
About the family: Bacterial tmRNA, also known as 10Sa RNA or SsrA, is named for its dual tRNA and mRNA-like properties.
Source: RNAcentral